UUAUUCGGUAUCUUACUCUUUUUUUUUUGCGAGAACGGUAUCUUACUCUUAUGAUCAUAGGGUCCAAUCACUAAGGCGCAUGAUGCUCUGAGACAUAGCAAACCUAAAGAUUUAAGAGGUAAUUCAUUUAUUGAAGCGAUAGUUUGGUGUCCGGACCUGAAGGACAUUCUACAAACAUGCAUAUGUAAUUUUUUUCACCAAGAUGAUGUCUCUUAUCAAAUUCCAUGUUGGUGUUCUCUGGGGACAAUAGUGAGUCUAAACAUGUGAGUUCCUUGAAAACAUGACCUGAAGGACAUUCUACAAACAUGCAUAUGUAAUUUUUCCGCCAAGAUGAUGUCUCUUACCAAAUUCCAUGUUGGUGUUCUCCAGGGACAAUAUUGAGUCUAAACAUGGUGCAUUUCAGCAAGACAUUGCAUGGGUUGUGCCAUCCUUUCCUUACGCCAGCUUCGGAGCAGCUGGAGAAUGUGGACUCUGCAAUGAAGUUUCCAACGGUUAUCUGUAGUGUCUGGCUGGCCAUUGUGUUUGACCUAAAUUUCAUUGAAAGAAUCAAGGCAUGUAUACAUACUUGCUAAUUUUCUGUUGAUUUUUUUAGC
This is a long non-coding RNA of Lolium rigidum, 593 nucleotides long. RefSeq lists it as uncharacterized. The record is from RefSeq and is a predicted model, not a curated record. The transcript has 4 exons. Lineage: Eukaryota; Viridiplantae; Streptophyta; Magnoliopsida; Poales; Poaceae.